RNAcentral lists this non-coding RNA (30 nucleotides) under Rattus norvegicus (Norway rat). The record is from RNAcentral. Lineage: Eukaryota; Metazoa; Chordata; Mammalia; Rodentia; Muridae.
UAGAAUUAUAGACCUGAGAGACGAUGUAUU